RNAcentral lists this ribosomal RNA (505 nucleotides) under uncultured bacterium. RNAcentral's name for it is "partial 16S ribosomal RNA". It matches the Rfam family "Bacterial small subunit ribosomal RNA", at positions 28 to 507 of the family's 1533-position model. The record is from RNAcentral.
GACGAACGCUGGCGGCGUGCCUAAUACAUGCAAGUAGAACGCACAGUUUAUACCUUAGCUUGCUACACCAUAAACUGUGAGUUGCGAACGGGUGAGUAACGCGUAGGUAACCUGCCUGGUAGCGUGGGAUAACUAUUGGAAACGAUAGCUAAUACCGCAUAAUAUUGAUUAUUGCAUGAUAAUUGAUUGAAAGUUGCUAUUGCAUCACUACCAGAUGGACCUGCGUUGUAUUAGCUAGUAGGUGAGGUAACGGCUCACCUAGGCGACGAGACAUAGCCGCCCUGGGAGGGUGGUCGGCCACACUGGGAAGGGGACACGGCCCAGACUGCUACGGGAGGCAGCCGUAGGGAAUCUUCGGCGAUGGACGAAAGUCUGACCGAGCAACGCCGCGUGAGUGAAGAAGGUUUUCGGAUCGUAAAGCUCUGUUGUAAGGGAAGAACGGGUGUGAGAGUGGAAAGUUCACACUGUGACGGUAUCUUACCAGAAAGGGACGGCUAACUACGUG